This 489-nucleotide ribosomal RNA is filed under the name uncultured bacterium. RNAcentral's name for it is "bacterial SSU rRNA". It matches the Rfam family "Bacterial small subunit ribosomal RNA", at positions 355 to 835 of the family's 1533-position model. The record is from RNAcentral.
UGGGGAAUUUUGCGCAAUGGGGGAAACCCUGACGCAGCAACGCCGCGUGGGUGAUGAAGGCCUUCGGGUCGUAAAGCCCUGUCGGGAGGAAAGAAAUGAUUGAGGGCUAAUACCUCUUGAUCUUGACGGUACCUCCGAAGGAAGCACCGGCUAACUCCGUGCCAGCAGCCGCGGUAAUACGGAGGGUGCAAGCGUUGUUCGGAAUUAUUGGGCGUAAAGCGCGUGUAGGCGGUCUUUUAAGUCUGAUGUGAAAGCCCCGGGCUCAACCUGGGAAGUGCAUUGGAAACUGGGAGACUUGAGUACGGGAGAGGAGAGUGGAAUUCCUAGUGUAGGAGUGAAAUCCGUAGAUAUUAGGAGGAACACCGGUGGCGAAGGCGGCUCUCUGGACCGAUACUGACGCUGAGACGCGAAAGCGUGGGUAGCAAACAGGAUUAGAUACCCUGGUAGUCCACGCCGUAAACGAUGAGUACUAGGUGUUGCGGGUAUUGA